RNAcentral lists this ribosomal RNA (583 nucleotides) under Fusarium oxysporum f. sp. albedinis. Its description in RNAcentral is "LSU rRNA". It matches the Rfam family "Eukaryotic large subunit ribosomal RNA", at positions 40 to 646 of the family's 3401-position model. Lineage: Eukaryota; Fungi; Ascomycota; Sordariomycetes; Hypocreales; Nectriaceae. The record is from RNAcentral.
AUAUCAAUAAGCGGAGGAAAAGAAACCAACAGGGAUUGCCCUAGUAACGGCGAGUGAAGCGGCAACAGCUCAAAUUUGAAAUCAGGCUCUCGGGCCCGAGUUGUAAUUUGUAGAGGAUACUUUUGAUGCGGUGCCUUCCGAGUUCCCUGGAACGGGACGCCAUAGAGGGUGAGAGCCCCGUCUGGUUGGAUGCCAAAUCUCUGUAAAGUUCCUUCAACGAGUCGAGUAGUUUGGGAAUGCUGCUCUAAAUGGGAGGUAUAUGUCUUCUAAAGCUAAAUACCGGCCAGAGACCGAUAGCGCACAAGUAGAGUGAUCGAAAGAUGAAAAGCACUUUGAAAAGAGAGUUAAAAAGUACGUGAAAUUGUUGAAAGGGAAGCGUUUAUGACCAGACUUGGGCUUGGUUAAUCAUCUGGGGUUCUCCCCAGUGCACUUUUCCAGUCCAGGCCAGCAUCAGUUUUCCCCGGGGGAUAAAGGCGGCGGGAAUGUGGCUCUCUUCGGGGAGUGUUAUAGCCCACCGUGUAAUACCCUGGGGGGGACUGAGGUUCGCGCAUCUGCAAGGAUGCUGGCGUAAUGGUCAUCAACG